UAGGGAAUAUUGGGCAAUGGAUGCAAGUCUGACCCAGCCAUGCCGCGUGCAGGAAGAAGGUCCUCUGGAUUGUAAACUGCUUUUGUCGGGGAAGAAGAGGUAGGAUGCGUCCUAUUGUGACGGUACCCGAUGAAUAAGCCACGGCUAACUACGUGCCAGCAGCCGCGGUAAUACGUAGGUGGCAAGCGUUGUCCGGAUUUAUUGGGUUUAAAGGGUGCGUAGGUGGUUUGUUAAGUCAGUGGUGAAAGCUGGUUGCUCAACAAUCAAGUUGCCAUUGAUACUGAUAGACUUGAGAGAAGUGGAGGUUCAUGGAAUGGAUAGUGUAGCGGUGAAAUGCAUAGAUAUUAUCCAGAACGUCAAUUGCGAAGGCAGUGGGCUGUACUUUUUCUGACACUGAGGC
This 400-nucleotide ribosomal RNA is filed under the name uncultured bacterium. RNAcentral describes it as "bacterial SSU rRNA". It matches the Rfam family "Bacterial small subunit ribosomal RNA", at positions 355 to 752 of the family's 1533-position model. The record is from RNAcentral.